This is a long non-coding RNA of Canis lupus familiaris (dog), 4591 nucleotides long. RefSeq lists it as uncharacterized. Lineage: Eukaryota; Metazoa; Chordata; Mammalia; Carnivora; Canidae. The record is from RefSeq and is a predicted model, not a curated record. The transcript is spliced from 6 exons.
GGCAGAGGGAGAAGUAGGCUCCAUGUCAGGAGCCUGAUGUGGGACUCGAUCCCGGGUCUUCAGGAUCACGUCCUCGGCUGCAGGCAGACACUCAACCACUGAGCCACCUGGGCUGCCCUCGUUUUAUUUUCAAACGAUUGAGCCCUUUAGUUGUAUUUGAUUUUUAGUUAAAACAUUUAGUGUACCACACCCGGUGCUCAUUUUAUUUAAUUUUUAAUUCAUUGAUUUUUAAAAAGUCACGGAAACCGUGAAAUGUUACCAAGCGCAUGUAACAAAUUCUUCAUGAUACUUUUUUUUUUUUUUCAUGAUACUUAAAUGAACACUGAGGCAUGUAAAGUCUAAAGAAAUGUGAGCUCGGUGAGCACCGGGAGGUUUGUCUCCGUCCAUUGCUGCAUUCCCGGCCUCUGGUAGAGCUGGCAGGUGUGUGCGGGCCCAUGAACACUAGCCACAUUCACCUGCUUGGGGCCUACAUGCAACCGCUGUCCAUCCUAUUUCUUUUGAAUUUAAUAACAUAAAUGUGAUAUCACUCUGACGUCAUCACUACAAACAGCUUUGUUCGGAUUUACUGACAUAGUUACCAAUUUCUCCACUGACCAUCACUUCGUGCCUUUCCCAUCAUUCUGAAGUCGGUCUGUUCAACGUUCUUUUUGAUAAAGGGCUGAUGUUGGCAACGCUCGCUCUUAGUUUUUAUUCAUCAAAAAAAUACGUUGUUUUUUUCUGUGUGGUUGAAAAGUGCUGCAGGGUGAUUGGUUCCAGGCUGACUGUUAUUUUCUCCCAACACGGUAAAGAUUAUUUGCCAUAGGCUGAAUUCUUACGUUGGAAUCCCAGCCCCCAGGUGACGGUGUUCGGUGGGGCCUGCAGGUGAGUAGGUCACGAGGCCAGAGUCCUGUGAAUGAGAUGGGUGCCCCCGUGACCCCACUGCCACGUGAGGUUGCUACCUGCAAGGGGGCCCCGAUCUCAGACUUCCAGCCUCCAGAACUCUGAGAAAUAAAUCCUCUGUAUUUGUAAGACAUCCAGUCUGUGGUGUUUUCUGGAAGUGACCCUAACACCCUAAGCUAAGUAUUUCUCUACCUUCCGCCUUGUCUUUUAGCUUCUGAGACUAUAUCUGCUGGUCUAAUCAUUUUAUCUUUUUUAAAAGAUAUUUAUUCAUUUAUUUAUUGGAGAGAGUGAGAGAGAGAGGGAGAGCACAGAGGGAGAGAGAAAGGGAGAAGCAGGCUCCACGUUGAGCACAGAGCCGGAUGCGGGGCUCGAUCCCAGGACCCGGAGAUCACGACCUGAGCUGAAAUCAAGAGUCCUGUCCGAUUUCUUUAAGUGAACCUCCCAGUUUCUGGUUGGACUUACUCUGUAAAGACACUGAACACCUCAGUUGGUGACCCUCCCCCCCCAGCUGGGAUUAGUAUUUCCGUCUGCCUGGACUGUGCUUGCUGUUCUGACCCGGGGCCUUCUAAGGAUGCAGCUGUACUGCCACAGGAGAGCCUCUGCGAGUACCUGGUUCAACGUGAUGGGAAAUAAAAGACAUGCAGAAAAUGCAAGAGGUAUGGAUCUACACCAAUCCUGGGGGACCUGCUUACGGUUUGGUUGGCUAAUCAGCAUGUGGAAGAAGUAAAAUUGGAAAACAGAUGACAAGUAAGCUUGGGGAAGGCCAUGGGGAAGGACACCCAGGAAUGUGCAGAGGAUGUGGAAACAUCAGUGACUCAAGAACAUGCUCGCCGAAGGGCUCUCAGUGAAGACGUGAGCAAGUGUGAAGGAUGACUUGUCCUAUAGAUGCUCGUUCUGUCUGUCUUCACCUUCUCCUGUUCUUGUUCAAUGGGUUCAGGACAAAGUGGCCACGUUAGCAAGGAUGCUGGUUUUGCAGGGGUUCAACCUCAAAGAUCCCUUGUGCUUGCCAAACGAGAGGCGGCUACUACCACCGUGUAUUACUCAGAGCGCCAGUAGCGUUGACCCAAGCACGGUCCCCAGUGUGGCAUCAUGCUCAAGGAGGACGGAGGCAAGCCCAUCACCCAGGGGUCGCUUGGUUAUAGUGGAUCACUUCUACUGUAAAGAAAGCAGGGAUUUGCCAUGACUGGAAUGGAAACUUAUUUUGAAUACAGGUUUGCAUGUUGGCACCAGCUGUGAAUUUUCUGAAUGCAUAGUUCACAGCCUUCGUAUCAUUUAUGACACUAUUUCUGAAUGAGGGAAUUACUCCAGGGCAUAAGAAGUAAGGCCGAUUCUUGUGGAAUAAAGUAUGUCUAUCCAGAACAGCUGGUCAUUUAUAAGAGGGGAAUGGCUUUCUGAAGACUAAUUCGUAGAGCCACCUGGCAUAUACCAUUUGCGAGUUGGUGGUACUUCCUGGUAGGAUGCAACGUAUACUCAGAACCAGCGCUCAGUGCUGCUUCUCACGGCCGUAGUCGGGAUCUAGGAAUGAAGAGGAAGCUGGGAGUGAUCUGACACAUUUACACCAAUGAGCCACUGGCCCUUCUUGUCCUUCGCAUCUCUGUUCUCGAGACUUAGGCUGUGCCGCCCUAAAGGUCUUUUGUUCCCAGGGGACGCAUGUCCUCCAGUCCCGAUAAGCACCCCUCACACCCACCCAAAGAAACAAAGGUGACUCUACUCAACAGAAGGUUGAAAGAGCAACCUGGCCCUUUUGAGAUCCCCCACCACUGGACACACAUGCUGGGAGGAGGGUACUCCUUUGAGAAUAUUUGUCUUAAUUAUCAAGCAGAAAUAUGGUCGCAGAUACAUGAUGAAGCAAGGCAGGAAUGCGAGGUCAGAGGGGUCAGAUAUCCGUUGACUCUGGGACCUUUGUUCAAUCAAUGUGUCAGAAAAACCACGGGCACACUCAACAGACAGUCUCCCCAGGAAAGGUAGCGAUUCCACGAUCUAAGUUGCUUUCAGCACAUUAAGAUGUACUUCUGUUUCCCCGGGGUGAAAUACACCUUUUCAAACCACUGAAAGACUAGGGGCUCCAUUUUUUCAAAAUUUUUUACCAGGCGGGAAAACAAACCUCUUGAGUGGCUUUAUUUAUAUGUAAAAAUAGACUACCUCUGAGUACUUCGUUUCACUUCAAAUGUCAAAAGACAUUAUGACAAAAAUUCUGAACAAUAAAUAGCAUCUCAUUCAAUUACUGAAUGGGGAAUUUGAUAUCUACUGAUUCUCUGAGUGUGUGAUUCCAGAAUAAUAAGGAACCUGGCAACUUCGCCUGUUUUUCUUUGCUGUGAGUACACAGCUGCAAGAAAUCUUAGGAACGACCUAAUCCAUCUCAAUCACUGUACAAGCAAAGCAACUGAGGAUGCAGAGCACAUUUUAGAUUUUAUUUAUUUAUUCAUGAGAGACUCGGAGAGCAAGGCAGAGACACAGGCGGAGGGAGAAGCAGCCUCCCUGUGGGGAGCCCGAUGUGGGACUCAAUCUCAGGACCCCAGGAUCACGACCUGAGCCACCCAGGUGCCCCCGGAGCACAUUUUAAAGGGUACUCGGGAGAGGAAGGAAAGAUGGGCUCUCCUGACCUCUUGUUUGUACAAUCCCACUGGUCUGCAGCUCUUUGCAAAAUGCUUGCUUAUAGACAGUGUCCAAAUGCAGAACCAGAUUAUGAGUAAGGAAUCAGAGUCGCUAGUCAGUGUUUGUGGGCAAUUCCUUUUUUUUUUUUUUUUAAAGAUUUUAUUUAUUCAUGAAAGACAAUUCCUAUUUAAUAAGAGUCGCACAGUUGAAAAGUGGCAUGGAAUGGUUCUGGGCUGGAGGUACAAAUGUGCCAUGGCCCCAGAGUCACUGUGUACAGUGAAAGAGGCCGCCGACGGGAAGCACUGAAGAGUUACUGCAGCUCCUUCACUCACACCUGUGUAGCCAUGGACAAGAAUUGCAAAGCUCAUUCGAUUGAUUGCACACACUGGACAGAGUCACGCUGAUGGGAACCCAUGGGUAAGAGAAAUCAACAGUGAUUUACAGGAAGUUGCAGGCCACAAAACCUGGUGUUUUUGGAGAUCCCGUGACUGCUCUGGAUCGGAGGCACCUGAUUGGACCUCCCAUCGUGUGGCAUCUCAGAAGCACAAGGCGUCUCCCUCCCCAAACGCUGCAUUACCCUCUUAUUCCUGAGGAUUCAUACCAACCUUGUUAGGUUACAGAUUGUAGACAUGGACGGAUUCCAGACUGGGUAACUGUGAGCAUUUAUAUACUUGAAUUUCUUCUUCUUUUCAUUUCUCUCAUAAUCCAGCAGAUGUCAGCCAUUCUCUUUGGUUUGGUUUUGCUUGGCAUCACCUGCCCGGGACCAGCUGAAGAGAAAUCACCUUUAGUUAUGUCAAAGUGGCAUGUUUGUUGAACUGUAACAACAAUAAUCCUCCCCAUUAGCCUACCAGGAACUGGAGGCAUUUUGUACUCAAGCAAUGAUGAAUUUUUAUUUUCUCACUUAAUUAAAAAAAAAAAAUCUCCAUCUCGGUUUCCAAAAUGUAUAGCUGGGCAAUAAAUGAGAAAACAGGGAAGGGCAGCCAGGGGAUUCAAAUGUGUGCUAAAAUAAUUUGUACGUUCAUGAGAGAAGGCAAAUUGUGCCUUGACGUCAAUGUGAGGUUGUGGUUUCAUUCUAUAGUUUAGAAUUAAAAAAGUCAUAGUUCGUGGUGUGUGUUUG